This 271-nucleotide ribosomal RNA is filed under the name Escherichia coli. RNAcentral's name for it is "partial 16S ribosomal RNA". It matches the Rfam family "Bacterial small subunit ribosomal RNA", at positions 1 to 269 of the family's 1533-position model. The record is from RNAcentral. Lineage: Bacteria; Pseudomonadati; Pseudomonadota; Gammaproteobacteria; Enterobacterales; Enterobacteriaceae.
GAAUUGAAGAGUUUGAUCAUGGCUCAGAUUGAACGCUGGCGGCAGGCCUAACACAUGCAAGUCGAACGGUAACAGGAAGCGCUUGCUGCUUCGCUGACGAGUGGCGGACGGGUGAGUAAUGUCUGGGAAACUGCCUGAUGGAGGGGGAUAACUACUGGAAACGGUAGCUAAUACCGCAUAACGUCGCAAGACCAAAGAGGGGGACCUUCGGGCCUCUUGCCAUCGGAUGUGCCCAGAUGGGAUUAGCUUGUUGGUGGGGUAACGGCUCACC